AGGGUUUGAUCAUGGCUCAGAACGAACGCUGGCGGCAUGGAUUAGGCAUGCAAGUUGAACGAACCACUUCGGUGGUGAGUAGCGGAAGGGUGAGGAACGCGUGAGUAAUCUGCCCCCUAGUUGGGAAUAACAGUUGGAAACGACUGCUAAUACCGAAUGUGGCUGCAUUUCCGCAUGGAGAUGCGGCUAAAGAUUUAUCGCUAGGGGAUGAGCUCGCGUCCCAUUAGGUAGUUGGUGAGGUAACGGCUCACCAAGCCGACGAUGGGUAGCUGGUCUGAGAGGAUGGUCAGCCACACUGGGACUGAGACACUGCCCAG
RNAcentral lists this ribosomal RNA (317 nucleotides) under uncultured bacterium. Its description in RNAcentral is "bacterial SSU rRNA". It matches the Rfam family "Bacterial small subunit ribosomal RNA", at positions 8 to 334 of the family's 1533-position model. The record is from RNAcentral.